RNAcentral lists this transfer RNA (72 nucleotides) under Marmota monax (woodchuck). It matches the Rfam family "tRNA". Rfam says of the family: Transfer RNA (tRNA) molecules are approximately 80 nucleotides in length. Their secondary structure includes four short double-helical elements and three loops (D, anti-codon, and T loops). Further hydrogen bonds mediate the characteristic L-shaped molecular structure. tRNAs have two regions of fundamental functional importance: the anti-codon, which is responsible for specific mRNA codon recognition, and the 3' end, to which the tRNAs corresponding amino acid is attached (by aminoacyl-tRNA synthetases). tRNAs cope with the degeneracy of the genetic code in two manners: having more than one tRNA (with a specific anti-codon) for a particular amino acid; and 'wobble' base-pairing, i.e. permitting non-standard base-pairing at the 3rd anti-codon position. Lineage: Eukaryota; Metazoa; Chordata; Mammalia; Rodentia; Sciuridae. The record is from Rfam by way of RNAcentral.
GGUGGUGUGGUUCAGUGGUAGAUUGCUUGCCUAGCAGGUGUAAGACCCUGGGUUCAAUCCUCAGCACCACAU